Ruditapes philippinarum (Manila clam) is the source of this 340-nucleotide long non-coding RNA. RefSeq lists it as uncharacterized. NCBI's taxonomy places the organism in Eukaryota, Metazoa, Mollusca, Bivalvia, Venerida, Veneridae. The transcript has 3 exons. The record is from RefSeq and is a predicted model, not a curated record.
GAUGGGUGUAUUCCGUAUACAGAGAGACAAACAGUGGAAUAAUUAUGAAGAUACAAUACUGUAUAACACUGUUAUCACUGCUUAUUACGGAAAACAGUUGUAUUUUAGUAAAUGUAGCGCUUGGGAAGAAACCUGAACAGUUAGGAGGACAAGAAACAUGGCCAUCUUCAAAUGCUGUUGACGGAAUAAAAGAAUGUCAGAAUGUCAACAGCAAACAUUUCACAUUAUCAGGAGUCAGUGAUUUACCGUGGUGGAAGCUUGACCUUGGUGGAUUAUUUCAGAUUCAUCAAGUCAAUGUAUUGGGAAGGAACGACGGACACUUUAGUGAGUUGAGAUCCGU